AAAUCAACAGAAGCAGCUUCUAAAUUGCGGCAGGCAGACUGUGGAGCACCACAGUCUCAACAGUAAGCCCAGGCCCAAACCCGAAAAGGACGCCCCAUUCCAACCCUUCUCCAGUAGAUUUAAGCCCAUCCUCGGCAGAUUUCUUCCUCAUCUCGUCCAAAAUAAAGAGCACACAUGCA
Populus euphratica (Euphrates poplar) is the source of this 179-nucleotide long non-coding RNA. RefSeq lists it as uncharacterized. NCBI's taxonomy places the organism in Eukaryota, Viridiplantae, Streptophyta, Magnoliopsida, Malpighiales, Salicaceae. The record is from RefSeq and is a predicted model, not a curated record. The transcript has 2 exons.